AACGAACGCUGGCGGCAUGCCUAACACAUGCAAGUCGAACGAGACCUUCGGGUCUAGUGGCGCACGGGUGCGUAACGCGUGGGAACCUGCCCUUAGGUUCGGAAUAACUCCCCGAAAGGGGUGCUAAUACCGGAUAAUGUCUUCGGACCGAAGAUUUAUCGCCUUUGGAUGGGCCCGCGUUGGAUUAGCUAGUUGGUAGGGUAAAAGCCUACCAAGGCGACGAUCCAUAGCUGGUCUGAGAGGAUGAUCAGCCACACUGGGACUGAGACACGGCCCAGACUCCUACGGGAGGCAGCAGUGGGGAAUAUUGGACAAUGGGCGAGAGCCUGAUCCAGCAAUGCCGCGUGAGUGAUGAAGGCCUUAGGGUUGUAAAGCUCUUUUACCCGGGAUGAUAAUGACAGUACCGGGAGAAUAAGCUCCGGCUAACUCCGUG
RNAcentral lists this ribosomal RNA (433 nucleotides) under uncultured bacterium. RNAcentral describes it as "partial 16S ribosomal RNA". It matches the Rfam family "Bacterial small subunit ribosomal RNA", at positions 29 to 507 of the family's 1533-position model. The record is from RNAcentral.